RNAcentral lists this ribosomal RNA (87 nucleotides) under Photobacterium kishitanii. Its description in RNAcentral is "partial 16S ribosomal RNA". It matches the Rfam family "Bacterial small subunit ribosomal RNA", at positions 1 to 79 of the family's 1533-position model. The record is from RNAcentral. Lineage: Bacteria; Pseudomonadati; Pseudomonadota; Gammaproteobacteria; Vibrionales; Vibrionaceae.
CAAGACUUUAAUUGAAGAGUCUGAUCAUGGCUCAGAUUGAACGCUGGCGGCAGGCCUAACACAUGCAAGUCAAGCGGGAACAGAUUG